CUUGGAGGACACUCACCCCAUGGUCCAUGGGAUGCUUCUGGCUUCCUUAAAAACAGUUGGGCAUCCGCAUUGUAUAAGUAGGUGGAGACCCUAGUGUGGUUCUUUUGAAGGAUAUGGGAAGGGAGGAUGACGAACUAGAGAAGUGGGAGGGGACCAAAAUCACUGAGGUCCCAGAAUAUCAUAGAUUUGGGUAUAGGAUUGGGGUCACUAAGAAUUGAGCACCAGGAAUUCCAGCUUCUUCCCAUUAAAGAAACUGGGACUGGUUUUGCCUUGGAGGCCUAUGUAGUGUUUUCUGCCCCUGUCCCAUACCAAGUCUCAUUGAUAUUUCUGCAGAAUAUCAGAUGAAAAUCUAUUUCUAAAGACCAUUGGGAGAAUGGGUGGUGGAGAAGGAGUUGGAGUGGGGUUGGGGGGCAGUUAAAAAUGAAUAAAAAUCUCUCAGCUACAGAACCCAAACAUCACUUCCCUCCGCAUUCACAGCAUUUCCCAGCAGUCCCCAGAUGGUUGUUUCCGUGGGGACACAGCAGCUGCCUCAUUUCCCUUCAGGCCCCAUGGGCUGCUGGUCAACCUCAGGAUCUACUAAAGAUGACGCAAAUGCCGACUGAACAAUCUGAAACCCAAAGGACUCGAGGAGAGACAUGUUCUGCUGAGGAGAGAAAGACUCAACCUCCUUCCCUGGCUGCUGAAUUUCAUAUGCCAGUGAAUCAACCAGCAAAAGCUCUCAAGCCGG
Molecule: long non-coding RNA, 727 nt
Filed under: Homo sapiens (human)
Lineage: Eukaryota; Metazoa; Chordata; Mammalia; Primates; Hominidae
Description: HSALNT0277003
Source: RNAcentral